AGGAAAAGGGAGCCCAGGGCAGCAGCACCCCACAGGAGCUUCGUGCACAGGAGGCUCCACCACCACCCUGAGCCUGCUGUGCAGCAUGGGGGUCACCUGCAGGAACCCACCAGGGCAGAGCCUCAGCUCUCAGCCUCCCGGAAUGAACCAUGAACCCAAAGCAAAGAGCAGAACUCCUUUGACACCUCCAGCUUCACAGACAAAGAUGAAUCUCCUAAGGCAUUUCUGAAACAUGCAGUUCUGAAGUCUGGCCAGCCACACCAAAGAGCUUUUCGCAAGAAGGCACAGGCCAGACUCUGUCAUAAAGAGGAAGCCAUCAGGUUCUUGGAUAAUUGCUGAAUGGAACUAAGGGAAAUGAGAGGAGAGAAGCAUCUCAGAGCAUGUUUGGACUUGCUGCAUGCCUUGGAC
Molecule: long non-coding RNA, 408 nt
Filed under: Homo sapiens (human)
Lineage: Eukaryota; Metazoa; Chordata; Mammalia; Primates; Hominidae
Description: non-protein coding LINC00390:3
Source: RNAcentral